AUCACACACAGUCGUCCCUGGAGAUAUGUUGUUUGCCGCGAUGUUAUCCGGUGUUGCCUGGAAUUCUGCAGAAGCAUUGCUGUAUUUUACCAGACAGAAACACAGGGUUGGACAUAUUAAUCCUGAGAUGUUCAAAAAUGAUAAAAUAUACUGAAACGUAUACUGAAAAAUAAAGAGAAUUUGAUGGAUAUAUUUUAUGGCCAAAUGUAUAUUCACUACAUGAAGUUAUUUACACGUCUGCUGUCUUUUUAAUCACUCAGAAAUAAUUAAACAUGAAUUUUCCAAAAAUCUGAA
Long non-coding RNA from Bombina bombina (fire-bellied toad), 294 nucleotides. RefSeq lists it as uncharacterized. The record is from RefSeq and is a predicted model, not a curated record. NCBI's taxonomy places the organism in Eukaryota, Metazoa, Chordata, Amphibia, Anura, Bombinatoridae. The transcript is spliced from 3 exons.